UCAUAUAUAUCCACUAUUCCUAGUGCAAUAUUACCCAAAGCAUCUCUUCUCUCCCUGUACACAGGACCAAAAGUGCAGGCACAUCAUUUAUUGAUAAGACAAAAAGAAUGUAAUGAAAUUAUCAAUGUUCUUGAAUUAAUUAUGAACAUGAUUAAGAAAGCUAAAAUCUCAGGAGCCAGGAUCUCAUUACCCAUUCAGUCUUAGGGAUUGCUUUCAUUCAGCUAAGCAAAAAGGCUUUGAGCAGUCCCACAAUUGCCUUUCUCUCAUUUAUUUGUGCUAGAAUUAAGGUUUAUUUGUUUUCUGUUUUCUCCUUCUUCAGAGAUUAUUUCUCUUAGUUUAUCCAUUUAACAAAUUGUUUCUUCCUGUAUCAUAGAAGAAUGCCCCUGUAGGGCCUCCAUCACUGUCUUCUGGCUACAGACCUCCUCCUUUUGAGGGCAUUUUCUCUCCACUCAUUUUGCUGGGAGCUCCUAAAUAUCUCUCAAGUUUCUACAGAUAGCAGAAGACUUCUGCAGUCCAAUCCUGCAAAUGCAUAGUUGCUAAGAAGAGGCUUUUUAAAAGUUCUACUUUGUGGGAAAACUUGACCAAAUAUUGAGAAAGCAGAAGACAGGAAUAUUUUCACUAGAUUGGGAUGGAUGGAGAGAGAGGGAAUGAAAAUAUUGACUAAGGGCAGAAAACAAUAUUCCCACCUUUAAAAGUCUAUGAUUGAUGAGUGUGAGAAGAGAAAUCCAGGGGUCUCCAAUAGAAUUCCGAAGACACAUGGUUUCAUCCAGUCAUCAGUUUCGUUAGAACUUCGCUUCCAGCUGGGCUCUGCCAUUUAGGAUAAGGAAUCGUGAUGUCACAUCUCUGCUAUUCAUGCUUCUGGCAGAAGAUGAGGAGGGAUCAAGAAAACUAUGGAAUCUGGUGUUCAAAUUGUGUCUUAAAGAAAAAGGACUUUAUAAGGCAAAAAGAAAGAGAAAGUGCAUCCCAAGAAUAUGAAGUAACCAGUACAAAGACAAAGCAUGUAUUUAUUUGAGGAUCAUCAUAAUUCCAAGUUAUUUCAGAAAACUGAAAUUUAACA
This 1057-nucleotide long non-coding RNA is filed under the name Monodelphis domestica (gray short-tailed opossum). Its description in RNAcentral is "lncRNA (ENSMODG00000048083.1)". The record is from RNAcentral. Lineage: Eukaryota; Metazoa; Chordata; Mammalia; Didelphimorphia; Didelphidae.